GAGGCUGGGUGGAGCGGAUACAUUUUGUAAACUGGAUUCCCUUAUUCAACAAAGUGCUUAGUGAAUCAGUUGACAGCAAUGCCAGGGUCCUCUGAGGACAGGGCCUUCCUGGAGGUCACUUGAGCCACUUGCCCCAAGGUGGUUUUCAGGGGAGUGUGCCCAGCGCUCGCUGCCUGUCUGCAGCUGGGCAGAGCAGCCCCUCUUCCGCGUCCAGCUCCACCUGGCUGCCCUGCCACGGCCCCAGCGGGCAACCCCCUUGUCCUUGACGCCCCUUACUGCCUGCUGCAGCUGGGUGACCUCCCUCCAAUAGGAGCUUGACAGUAGCUUUUUCGAUCCGUAGGAAGAUGCCAAGAGCGGAGCUGAGAGUGCAGCACAAGGACCUCUGAGAAGUCUUGUCUUCCUCCAAGCAGUGAGAAAAGUGGCGGGAAGAAAUAGAAAAUCUGAUCCUAAAAUUCAUGUGGAAUUGCAAGAGGCCUCAGAGAGCCAAAACUACCUAAUGAAAGAACUAAGAUGGAAGACUUACAUGUCCCGAUUUCAAAACUUACUACAAAGCUAUAGUAAUCAAGGCAGUAUGGUACUGGCUUAAGGCCAGGUAUAGAGACAAUAGAACAGAAUUGAAAGUCCAGAAAUAAACCCUUACUUUUAUGGUGAACUGGUUUCAACAAGGGUGACAAAACCACUCACUGGAGGAGAGAUCAGCUCUUCAGCAAAUGGUACCGAGACAACUGGACUUCCACUUACAACACAAGGUAUUUGGACUCCUACCUCACACCAUACACAAAAAAUUAACCAUGCACAAAAUUGAUCACUGACCUAAAAGUAAAAUCCAUGAGUUUCGGGCUCACAGGGGUAGACAGACAGGGCCGAGGGGCUGGUCUCCCAGUGAAGGUGCUGGAGGUUCCUCAGUGUCCUUCCCUGACAGCUGAGCCUG
This 931-nucleotide long non-coding RNA is filed under the name Callithrix jacchus (white-tufted-ear marmoset). RNAcentral's name for it is "lncRNA (ENSCJAG00000074464.1)". Lineage: Eukaryota; Metazoa; Chordata; Mammalia; Primates; Cebidae. The record is from RNAcentral.